This 253-nucleotide ribosomal RNA is filed under the name uncultured bacterium. Its description in RNAcentral is "partial 16S ribosomal RNA". It matches the Rfam family "Bacterial small subunit ribosomal RNA", at positions 524 to 776 of the family's 1533-position model. The record is from RNAcentral.
UACGUAGGGGGCUAGCGUUGUCCGGAAUCAUUGGGCGUAAAGAGCGUGUAGGCGGUCCGGUAAGUCCGCUGUGAAAGUCGGGGGCUCAACCCUCGAAUGCCGGUGGAUACUGUCGGGCUAGAGUGCGGAAGAGGCGAGUGGAAUUCCUGGUGUAGCGGUGAAAUGCGCAGAUAUCAGGAGGAACACCUAUUGCGAAGGCAGCUCGCUGGGACGUUACUGACGCUGAGACGCGAAAGCCAGGGGAGCAAACGGG